This is a long non-coding RNA of Bos indicus x Bos taurus (hybrid cattle), 1755 nucleotides long. The record is from Ensembl. Lineage: Eukaryota; Metazoa; Chordata; Mammalia; Artiodactyla; Bovidae.
GCUACCCCAUCCUUGGGUUCUCCAGGCAAGAACACUGGAGUGGGUUGCCAUUUCCUUCUCCAAUGCAUGAAAGUGAAAAGUGAAAGUGAAGUCGCUCAGUCGUGUCCGACUCUUAGCGACCCCAUGGACUACAGCCCACCAGGCUCCUCCGUCCAUGGGAUUUUCCAGGCAAGAGUACUGGAGUGGGGUGCCAUUGGCUUCUCCGCCCUAUAGGACUAAAGAAGUGAAAAAUGUUUAUCAGAUACAUCCUGCAUUGAGCUUUCUUUCUGGUUCUGUUUUAACAUAAAAUUAUUUGCCUCCAGCUUGUUCUUCAUUCCUAGGUCCCCCAGCCAUGUCACUGCCCUAUCUCCAGUAACCCAUGAAAUAUGGCCAACAAGCCAGCUGAGCUCAAAGGCCUCAUGGCAAGUGAUAUGCGUUCCCAGUAGGCAGUGCUGUGGAGAAACUGACCAACUCAGGUCUGUGCAGGCUGAUCUCUAGACUUCGCUUCUCUCCCUGAAAACAUCGAUAUCUUACAUCAUAAAUGUAGAGGAAAGGGUUUCACAGUCCAGAGUUCAUCCCCAUAAUAGACAGUGUCACCAUCGGGGCAGGGGCACUGUGAUCAGACACAUCUACCUGGAGUUCUUGGGGUGCCCUGCCAAGGGCAGAUCCAGCCCCUCAUUUGGCAGGGAGCAACCCUUGAGGUGACAGACUUUGCAGCCGAGGCAUGAAGGACAGUGAACUUCCUGGUUCCCUCUCCCUGCAAGUGAGACAGGAGCCCAUGGACAUCCAGCAGCAGCAGGAGCAGUCCUCUCGGGUCAUGAGCUUGGACAAGGAUGGGACCCAUCUGCACCGCAAAGGGCAGGCCUGUAGCUCUCCCACUGGGAGAUGCCAAGUCAGAGUCCCUGAGUACUCACCAUUUGCCCAGGGCUGGGACUUCCAUGAAGCCACCACUGCUGGGCAGAAGGAUGCAGGAAUAAUGUCCAGCACUUCCAGUUCAGGCACUGCCUUCCUGAAGGACUUUCCUUGGGCAACAGCUCAGACCUCACUCCUGCUUCUUCUGGGACUUUUCCUGCUGACUGCUCUUGGUUUCAUCUGGAAACUUCGCCGAGAGAAAGAUCGAGAAUGCUGGACCAAAGAGCAACUCCAAAGAGAGCUCCGUAAGUUCCGUACUUCCUCCUCCCGCAUGUACAAUUUGAGACCCUCUCUUGUGUCAUUGAUCUCAUGAAGUUUCUUUGUUCUACUUUAGGCUGGAGAAAAGCCCAGAAAGUGGAUGGUGAGUAAAUUGAAAUUUUUGUUUUUCAUCUAACACUUUAUCUGCUUCAUUUAAUAAGUUCCUUUCUCCUGAUUCUUUCCUCUGAAGCCUUGCUCAUUCUUGCACCAUCUGGACUUAAGCCAAUAACCCCAGUAGCUCUGUUGAUAUGUCAUGGAUGCCCCAAAGAUUUUUCAAACCUAUUGCCAACACUGAACUCCAUUCCCUUUGCUGUCAACCUGCCCUUCCUCCUCCCCUCCCCUCACCAUCCAAUGCUACCACCACCCACCCAAGGGGGCUCCUUUCUCUCCUUCCCUCAGGGCAAGUCCAUUUACUGCCUAGCCCAGGACCCCGACUCAGGCAUAGAAUACCUCCCCCAAUCUUUCUUUCUUCUUUUGUCAAAGAUCCCUGGGAGUAGAUUAUCAAGACCCUUCUCUCAACAGCAAGCUGCUUCUGUUCCCUCAAGAGCUACUGCUGCCCUUUUCCUUUUAAGACUUAGUUCCUAAAUAAAUGUUAGGAAACAGACA